GCCGGUGUGCUGGAACUGGCAGACGGGGCGGACUCAAAAUCCGUUGCCAGCAAUGGCGUGUGGGUUCAAGUCCCACCACCGGCACCA
RNAcentral lists this transfer RNA (87 nucleotides) under Clostridiaceae bacterium. RNAcentral describes it as "tRNA-Leu". It matches the Rfam family "tRNA". Rfam says of the family: Transfer RNA (tRNA) molecules are approximately 80 nucleotides in length. Their secondary structure includes four short double-helical elements and three loops (D, anti-codon, and T loops). Lineage: Bacteria; Bacillati; Bacillota; Clostridia; Eubacteriales; Clostridiaceae. The record is from RNAcentral.